RNAcentral lists this transfer RNA (67 nucleotides) under Diaphorina citri (Asian citrus psyllid). It matches the Rfam family "tRNA". Rfam says of the family: Transfer RNA (tRNA) molecules are approximately 80 nucleotides in length. Their secondary structure includes four short double-helical elements and three loops (D, anti-codon, and T loops). Further hydrogen bonds mediate the characteristic L-shaped molecular structure. tRNAs have two regions of fundamental functional importance: the anti-codon, which is responsible for specific mRNA codon recognition, and the 3' end, to which the tRNAs corresponding amino acid is attached (by aminoacyl-tRNA synthetases). tRNAs cope with the degeneracy of the genetic code in two manners: having more than one tRNA (with a specific anti-codon) for a particular amino acid; and 'wobble' base-pairing, i.e. permitting non-standard base-pairing at the 3rd anti-codon position. The record is from Rfam by way of RNAcentral. Lineage: Eukaryota; Metazoa; Arthropoda; Insecta; Hemiptera; Psyllidae.
GCUCCCAUGGCGUAGUGGUCACUGCGCUCGCACGCGGGAGACCCGGGUUCGAUUCCCGGCGGGGUCA